AGCAGUCGCCACGGUAAUACAGAGGGUGCGAGCGUUAAUCGGAUUUACUGGGCGUAAAGCGUGCGUAGGCGGCUUCUUAAGUCGGAUGUGAAAUCCCUGAGCUUAACUUAGGAAUUGCAUUCGAUACUGGGAAGCUAGAGUAUGGGAGAGGAUGGUAGAAUUCCAGGUGUAGCGGUGAAAUGCGUAGAGAUCUGGAGGAAUACCGAUGGCGAAGGCAGCCAUCUGGCCUAAUACUGACGCUGAGGUACGAAAGCAUGGGGAGCAAACAGGAUUAGAUACCCGCGUAGUCCCUGUCUCUUUUAC
This 303-nucleotide ribosomal RNA is filed under the name uncultured bacterium. RNAcentral's name for it is "partial 16S ribosomal RNA". It matches the Rfam family "Bacterial small subunit ribosomal RNA", at positions 507 to 807 of the family's 1533-position model. The record is from RNAcentral.